UGGGGAAUUUUGGACAAUGGGGGAAACCCUGAUCCAGCCAUCCCGCGUGUGCGAUGAAGGCCUUCGGGUUGUAAAGCACUUUUGGCAGGAAAGAAACGUCGCGGGUUAAUACCCCGCGAAACUGACGGUACCUGCAGAAUAAGCACCGGCUAACUACGUGCCAGCAGCCGCGGUAAUACGUAGGGUGCAAGCGUUAAUCGGAAUUACUGGGCGUAAAGCGUGCGCAGGCGGUUCGGAAAGAAAGAUGUGAAAUCCCAGAGCUUAACUUUGGAACUGCAUUUUUAACUACCGGGCUUUAGAGUGUGUCAGAGGGAGGUGGAAUUCCGCGUGUAGCAGUGAAAUGCGUAGAUAUGCGGAGGAACACCGAUGGCGAAGGCAGCCUCCUGGGAUAACACUGACGCUCAUGCACGAAAGCGUGGGGAGCAAACAGGAUUAGAUACCCUGGUAGUCCACGCCCUAAACGAUGUCAACUAGCUGUUGGGGCCUUCGGGCCUUGGUAGCGCAGCUAACGCGUGAAGUUGACCGCCUGGGGAGUACGGUCGCAAGAUUAAAACUCAAAUGAAUUGACGGGGUCGAUANCUGUUUCCU
Molecule: ribosomal RNA, 588 nt
Filed under: uncultured bacterium
Lineage: Bacteria
Description: partial 16S ribosomal RNA
Rfam family: Bacterial small subunit ribosomal RNA
Source: RNAcentral